UCCCUCUCAGGGUCGCACCUCGAGAGUUUCCAGUACUCUGCCAGUCUCAACUACGGGAGGGAGAGUCAAGCAGAGGCAUGCACAUUCCAUUCCUAGCUUGGCCAGUGGCUAGAGAGUGGACGGCAAUCUGCAACAAGU
Molecule: small nucleolar RNA, 138 nt
Filed under: Ornithorhynchus anatinus (platypus)
Lineage: Eukaryota; Metazoa; Chordata; Mammalia; Monotremata; Ornithorhynchidae
Source: RNAcentral